GGUUAAGUGACUAAGCGUACACGGUGGAUGCCUAGGCAGUCAGAGGCGAUGAAGGACGUGCUAAUCUGCGAUAAGCGUCGGUGAGCUGAUAUGAAGCAUUAUUAGCCGGCGAUGUCCGAAUGGGGAAACCCAGUGCAAUCCGUUGCACUAUCGUUAAGUGAAUCCAUAGCUUAACGAGGCGAACCAGGGGAACUGAAACAUCUAAGUACCCUGAGGAAAAGAAAUCAACCGAGAUUCCCCCAGUAGCGGCGAGCGAACGGGGAAGAGCCCAGAACCUGAAUCAGUUUGUGCAUUAGUGGAAGCGUCUGGAAAGUCGCGCGAUACAGGGUGAUAGCCCCGUACACGAAGGUGCACAGCUGUGAGUUCGAUGAGUAGGGCGGGACACGUGUUAUCCUGUCUGAAUAUGGGGGGACCAUCCUCCAAGGCUAAAUACUCCUGACUGACCGAUAGUGAACCAGUACCGUGAGGGAAAGGCGAAAAGAACCCCGGCGAGGGGAGUGAAAUAGAACCUGAAACCGUGUACGUACAAGCAGUGGGAGCACCUUUUGGGUGUGACUGCGUACCUUUUGUAUAAUGGGUCAGCGACUUAUAUUUUGUAGCAAGGUUAACCGAAUAGGGGAGCCGUAGGGAAACCGAGUCUUAACUGGGCGUCUAGUUGCAAGGUAUAGACCCGAAACCCGGUGAUCUAGCCAUGGGCAGGUUGAAGGUUGGGUAACACUAACUGGAGGACCGAACCGACUAAUGUUGAAAAAUUAGCGGAUGACUUGUGGCUGGGGGUGAAAGGCCAAUCAAACCGGGAGAUAGCUGGUUCUCCCCGAAAGCUAUUUAGGUAGCGCCUCGUGAACUCAUCUUCGGGGGUAGAGCACUGUUUCGGCUAGGGGGUCAUCCCGACUUACCAACCCGAUGCAAACUACGAAUACCGAAGAAUGUUAUCACGGGAGACACACGGCGGGUGCUAACGUCCGUCGUGAAGAGGGAAACAACCCAGACCGCCAGCUAAGGUCCCAAAGUCAUGGUUAAGUGGGAAACGAUGUGGGAAGGCACAGACAGCCAGGAUGUUGGCUUAGAAGCAGCCAUCAUUUAAAGAAAGCGUAAUAGCUCACUGGUCGAGUCGGCCUGCGCGGAAGAUGUAACGGGGCUAAACCAUGCACCGAAGCUGCGGCAGCGACGCUUAGGCGUUGUUGGGUAGGGGAGCGUUCUGUAAGCCGUUGAAGGUGGCCUGUGAGGGCUGCUGGAGGUAUCAGAAGUGCGAAUGCUGACAUAAGUAACGAUAAAGCGGGUGAAAAGCCCGCUCGCCGGAAGACCAAGGGUUCCUGUCCAACGUUAAUCGGGGCAGGGUAAGUCGACCCCUAAGGCGAGGCCGAAAGGCGUAGUCGAUGGGAAACAGGUUAAUAUUCCUGUACUUGGUGUUAUUGCGAAGGGGGGACGGAGAAGGCUAGACCGGCCGGGCGACGGUUGUCCCGGUUUAAGCGUGUAGGUGUGAUGACCUGGCAAAUCCGGUUAUCUUUAACACUGAGGCGUGAUGACGAGGCACUACGGUGCUGAAGUGGUUAAUGCCCUGCUUCCAGGAAAAGCCUCUAAGCUCCAGAUAACACUGAAUCGUACCCCAAACCGACACAGGUGGUCAGGUAGAGAAUACCAAGGCGCUUGAGAGAACUCGGGUGAAGGAACUAGGCAAAAUGGUGCCGUAACUUCGGGAGAAGGCACGCUGGCAUGUAGGUGAAGUCCCUUGCGGAUGGAGCCGAAGCCAGUCGAAGAUACCAGCUGGCUGCAACUGUUUAAUAAAAACACAGCACUCUGCAAACACGAAAGUGGACGUAUAGGGUGUGACGCCUGCCCGGUGCUGGAAGGUUAAUUGAUGGGGUCAGCCGCAAGGCGAAGCUCUUGAUCGAAGCCCCAGUAAACGGCGGCCGUAACUAUAACGGUCCUAAGGUAGCGAAAUUCCUUGUCGGGUAAGUUCCGACCUGCACGAAUGGCGUAAUGAUGGCCAGGCUGUCUCCACCCGAGACUCAGUGAAAUUGAACUCGCUGUGAAGAUGCAGUGUACCCGCGGCAAGACGGAAAGACCCCGUGAACCUUUACUAUAGCUUGACACUGAACAUUGAACCUUGAUGUGUAGGAUAGGUGGGAGGCUUUGAAGUGUGGACGCCAGUCUGCAUGGAGCCGACCUUGAAAUACCACCCUUUAAUGUUUGAUGUUCUAACCUGGUCCCGUGAUCCGGGAUAGGGACAGUGUCUGGUGGGUAGUUUGACUGGGGCGGUCUCCUCCCAAAGAGUAACGGAGGAGCACGAAGGUUAGCUAAUCCUGGUCGGACAUCAGGAGGUUAGUGCAAAGGCAUAAGCUAGCUUGACUGCGAGAGUGACGGCUCGAGCAGGUGCGAAAGCAGGUCUUAGUGAUCCGGUGGUUCUGAAUGGAAGGGCCAUCGCUCAACGGAUAAAAGGUACUCCGGGGAUAACAGGCUGAUACCGCCCAAGAGUUCAUAUCGACGGCGGUGUUUGGCACCUCGAUGUCGGCUCAUCACAUCCUGGGGCUGAAGUAGGUCCCAAGGGUAUGGCUGUUCGCCAUUUAAAGUGGUACGCGAGCUGGGUUUAGAACGUCGUGAGACAGUUCGGUCCCUAUCUGCCGUGGGCGUUGGAAGAUUGAGAGGGGCUGCUCCUAGUACGAGAGGACCGGAGUGGACGCACCGCUGGUGUUCGGGUUGUGAUGCCAAUUGCAUUGCCCGGUAGCUACGUGCGGAAAAGAUAAGCGCUGAAAGCAUCUAAGCGCGAAACUUGCCUCGAGAUGAGUCUUCCCUUGGACCUUGAGUCCACUGAAGGAACGUUUAAGACUAAGACGUUGAUAGGCUGGGUGUGUAAGCGUAGCGAUACGUUGAGCUAACCAGUACUAAUGAUCCGAGAGGCUUAACCUU
Molecule: ribosomal RNA, 2907 nt
Filed under: Edwardsiella ictaluri
Lineage: Bacteria; Pseudomonadati; Pseudomonadota; Gammaproteobacteria; Enterobacterales; Hafniaceae
Description: 23S ribosomal RNA
Rfam family: Bacterial large subunit ribosomal RNA
Source: RNAcentral